CAUUAAGUAACUUAAUUGAAAGUAUUGGUCUCUUAAACCAAAUUAUAGUAAAAAAUACUCUUAAUGG
Molecule: transfer RNA, 67 nt
Filed under: Norvellina sp. EMHAU-15062816
Lineage: Eukaryota; Metazoa; Arthropoda; Insecta; Hemiptera; Cicadellidae
Description: tRNA-Lys
Rfam family: tRNA
About the family: Transfer RNA (tRNA) molecules are approximately 80 nucleotides in length. Their secondary structure includes four short double-helical elements and three loops (D, anti-codon, and T loops).
Source: RNAcentral